GGUCGGGUCGCGGGCGCUCGGUCCCAGCCGAGGGGCGGGCGCCGGACGGCGUGCGGGACCGAGGGCGCCGCGGCUGGCCGGGGUCCUGGGCCUCGCCGGUGGGCGUCUCGCCGUCGCACCCGCAGCGCACUCCUGCCGAGGGAGGCCCUGCCCCCCCACACACAGCCCCCGGCGGCGGCCCGUCGUGACGUGCGCGUUCUGACGUCACCCUGCCGGCGCCGCCCUGACGUGUCCUCUCCCUGAUGUCACCCGGCGGCGCCGCGGACACGCAGCAGGCUGCUGUCACCUGCUGAGUGGUCAGCGUUCCCGAGUCAGUGCGAGUGCGGUUGGUUUUUUAAAGACCCGGGAACCUCCGGAGUUCCGUUCUGGGGUCUGCCUGAGCUGUGCGGUCUGCGGGGACGGGCGCUCGGGGCGGAGCAGGACCGGGUGGUGGGACCGGGGAGGGGGGAGGACGAGGCAGGAUAGGGAAGGAUGGGGAGGACGGGAGAAGACGGGGUGGUGGGACCGGGGCAGGACAGGGCAGGGUGGGGGAAGAUGGGAGGGAUGAGGAAGGUUGGGAAGGAUGGACCAGGACAGGGCAGGGUGGGGGAAGAUGGGAGGGAUGAGGAAGGUUGGGGAGGACGGAGCAGGACGGGGUGGUGGGACCAGGGCAGGACAGGGCAGGGUGGGGGAGGAUGAGGAUGAGGAAGGACGGAGCAGGACAGGGUGGUGGGACUGGAGAGGAGGAGGCAAGAUAGGGCAGGUUGGGGAGGAUGGAAGAAGAUGGGAUGGUUGGACUGGGUAGCCCAGGAGGACGAGAGAAGAAAGGGAAGGACUGGUGGGGAUGUUGGCUGGCCGGGGAGGACGAGGCGGAACGAGGAGGAGGGAGCCGCACAGGGAAGGACAGAAGACGAUGGAGCAGGAUGGGGAAGGAUAGAGCAGCGGGGGAGGACAGGGCAGCUGGCUGGAGGGCGUCUCGCGGGUGCGUUUGGACUCAUCACUCCAUGUGUGCUUGCAGCCAGCACAUUCCUGCGAUGAAAAAUAAAAACGUUAGAAAACUUGUCCGGUUUAGCAGAACAAACCUACCCUGCUGGGACUCAAGAGUGGACAAGGAAUAUGGAAGUAACAUCUGUAUACAUCUGCUCCCUGUAAAAUGCCAACCUGUCAUCCCCAGGGAGCUGCACGGGCCCAUGGUGCACAUGUGUGCACCUUGCACCAGCAGCAGGAGGGCCAGGCGUCAGCACCCAGGAAACACUCUCAGAGUGCGCUCAACAGAGCCACUUUGCCAGGGACCAACAAAUAAAAACCUCUAG
This 1292-nucleotide long non-coding RNA is filed under the name Vulpes vulpes (red fox). Its description in RNAcentral is "lncRNA (ENSVVUG00000002774.1)". The record is from RNAcentral. Lineage: Eukaryota; Metazoa; Chordata; Mammalia; Carnivora; Canidae.